Molecule: transfer RNA, 68 nt
Filed under: Marmota monax (woodchuck)
Lineage: Eukaryota; Metazoa; Chordata; Mammalia; Rodentia; Sciuridae
Description: tRNA.Asp
Source: RNAcentral
GGAUUGUGGCUCAGUGGUAGAGCUCUUGUCUGUCAUGUGCAAGGCCCUGAGUUGGAUCCUCAGCACCA